UUCCGGUUGAUCUUGCCGGACCUGACUGCUAUUGGAGUAGGACUAAGUCACGCUAGUCAAAGGUGCAGAAUGGAGCACCUGGCGUACGGCUCAGUAACACGUAGUCAACCCACCCUAAGGACGAUGACAACCACGGGAAACUGUGGAUAAUCUUCGAUAGGAAAUUUGGCCUGGAACGGUAUCUUUCCUAAAACCGGCUCGCCGUGAGACACGGGCCUUAGGAUGGGGCUGCGGCCGAUUAUGCUUGAUGGCGGUGUAAAGGACCACCAUGGCGACGAUCGGUAUGGGCAAUGGAAGUUGGAGCCCAGAGUCGCUAACUGAGACAAGGUAGCGAGCCUUACGAGGCUUAGCGGUCGCGAAAACUCGCCAAUGCACGAAAGUGUGAGUGGGCUACUCCAAGUGUCAUUCUUACGGAUGACUGUCGCUCAGUAUUACAAGCUGAGAAAGGAAGGAGAGGGCAAGGCUGGUGCCAGCCGCCGCGGUAAAACCAGCUCUUCGAGUGGUCAGGACGAAUAUUGGGUCUAAAGCGCUCGUAGCCGGACAUGUAGGUUCCUGGUUAAAUCCGACAGCAUAACUGUCGACCUGCUGGGAAUACCGCAAGUCUUGGGAGCGGGAGAGGAUAGAGGUAGUCAUAGGGCAGGGGUGAAAUCCAGUGAUCCUAUGGCGACCACCGAUGGCGAAGGCAUCUAUCUGGAACGUCUCCGACGGUGUGGGGCGAAAGCUAGGGGAGCGACCCGGAUUAGAUACCCGGUUAGUCCUAGCCGUAAACGAUGCCGACUAGGUGUUGCGACGGCCAAGAGCCGUUGCGGUGCCACAGCGAAGGCGUUAAGUCGGCCACCUGGGGGAGUACGGUCGCAAGACUGAAACUUAAAGGAAUUUGACGGGGGCGCACCACCAGGAGUGAAGCCUGCGGUUUAAUUGGAUUCAACGCCGGGAAUCACUAGUGCGGC
This 950-nucleotide ribosomal RNA is filed under the name uncultured archaeon. Its description in RNAcentral is "bacterial SSU rRNA". It matches the Rfam family "Archaeal small subunit ribosomal RNA", at positions 1 to 937 of the family's 1478-position model. The record is from RNAcentral.